UACGGAGGGGGCUAGCGUUGUUCGGAAUUACUGGGCGUAAAGCGUACGUAGGCGGCUUUGUAAGUUAGAGGUGAAAGCCCAGAGCUCAACUCUGGAAUUGCCUUUAAGACUGCAUCGCUUGAAUCGUGGAGAGGUUAGUGGAAUUCCGAGUGUAGAGGUGAAAUUCGUAGAUAUUAGGAAGAACACCGGUGGCGAAGGCGGCCCACUGGAUCGGUACUGACGCUGAGGUGCGAAAGCGUGGGGAGCAAACAGG
Molecule: ribosomal RNA, 253 nt
Filed under: uncultured bacterium
Lineage: Bacteria
Description: partial 16S ribosomal RNA
Rfam family: Bacterial small subunit ribosomal RNA
Source: RNAcentral